Molecule: long non-coding RNA, 1590 nt
Filed under: Homo sapiens (human)
Lineage: Eukaryota; Metazoa; Chordata; Mammalia; Primates; Hominidae
Description: non-protein coding lnc-DLK1-35:47
Rfam family: Maternally expressed 3 conserved region 2 (bases 526-630)
Source: RNAcentral
GCAGACGGCGGAGAGCAGAGAGGGAGCGCGCCUUGGCUCGCUGGCCUUGGCGGCGGCUCCUCAGGAGAGCUGGGGCGCCCACGAGAGGAUCCCUCACCCGGGUCUCUCCUCAGGGAUGACAUCAUCCGUCCACCUCCUUGUCUUCAAGGACCACCUCCUCUCCAUGCUGAGCUGCUGCCAAGGGGCCUGCUGCCCAUCUACACCUCACGAGGGCACUAGGAGCACGGUUUCCUGGAUCCCACCAACAUACAAAGCAGCCACUCACUGACCCCCAGGACCAGGAUGGCAAAGGAUGAAGAGGACCGGAACUGACCAGCCAGCUGUCCCUCUUACCUAAAGACUUAAACCAAUGCCCUAGUGAGGGGGCAUUGGGCAUUAAGCCCUGACCUUUGCUAUGCUCAUACUUUGACUCUAUGAGUACUUUCCUAUAAGUCUUUGCUUGUGUUCACCUGCUAGCAAACUGGAGUGUUUCCCUCCCCAAGGGGGUGUCAGUCUUUGUCGACUGACUCUGUCAUCACCCUUAUGAUGUCCUGAAUGGAAGGAUCCCUUUGGGAAAUUCUCAGGAGGGGGACCUGGGCCAAGGGCUUGGCCAGCAUCCUGCUGGCAACUCCAAGGCCCUGGGUGGGCUUCUGGAAUGAGCAUGCUACUGAAUCACCAAAGGCACGCCCGACCUCUCUGAAGAUCUUCCUAUCCUUUUCUGGGGGAAUGGGGUCGAUGAGAGCAACCUCCUAGGGUUGUUGUGAGAAUUAAAUGAGAUAAAAGAGGCCUCAGGCAGGAUCUGGCAUAGAGGAGGUGAUCAGCAAAUGUUUGUUGAAAAGGUUUGACAGGUCAGUCCCUUCCCACCCCUCUUGCUUGUCUUACUUGUCUUAUUUAUUCUCCAACAGCACUCCAGGCAGCCCUUGUCCACGGGCUCUCCUUGCAUCAGCCAAGCUUCUUGAAAGGCCUGUCUACACUUGCUGUCUUCCUUCCUCACCUCCAAUUUCCUCUUCAACCCACUGCUUCCUGACUCGCUCUACUCCGUGGAAGCACGCUCACAAAGGCACGUGGGCCGUGGCCCGGCUGGGUCGGCUGAAGAACUGCGGAUGGAAGCUGCGGAAGAGGCCCUGAUGGGGCCCACCAUCCCGGACCCAAGUCUUCUUCCUGGCGGGCCUCUCGUCUCCUUCCUGGUUUGGGCGGAAGCCAUCACCUGGAUGCCUACGUGGGAAGGGACCUCGAAUGUGGGACCCCAGCCCCUCUCCAGCUCGAAAUCCCUCCACAGCCACGGGGACACCCUGCACCUAUUCCCACGGGACAGGCUGGACCCAGAGACUCUGGACCCGGGGCCUCCCCUUGAGUAGAGACCCGCCCUCUGACUGAUGGACGCCGCUGACCUGGGGUCAGACCCGUGGGCUGGACCCCUGCCCACCCCGCAGGAACCCUGAGGCCUAGGGGAGCUGUUGAGCCUUCAGUGUCUGCAUGUGGGAAGUGGGCUCCUUCACCUACCUCACAGGGCUGUUGUGAGGGGCGCUGUGAUGCGGUUCCAAAGCACAGGGCUUGGCGCACCCCACUGUGCUCUCAAUAAAUGUGUUUCCUGUCUUAACAAAAACUGAU